RNAcentral lists this ribosomal RNA (550 nucleotides) under uncultured bacterium. RNAcentral describes it as "bacterial SSU rRNA". It matches the Rfam family "Bacterial small subunit ribosomal RNA", at positions 355 to 896 of the family's 1533-position model. The record is from RNAcentral.
UGGGGAAUCUUCCGCAAUGGACGAAAGUCUGACGGAGCAACGCCGCGUGAGUGAUGACGGCCUUCGGGUUGUAAAGCUCUGUUAAUCGGGACGAAUGGUUCUUGUGCAAAUAGUGCGAGGAUUUGACGGUACCGGAAUAGAAAGCCACGGCUAACUACGUGCCAGCAGCCGCGGUAAUACGUAGGUGGCAAGCGUUGUCCGGAAUUAUUGGGCGUAAAGCGCGCGCAGGCGGAUUGGUCAGUCUGUCUUAAAAGUUCGGGGCUUAACCCCGUGAUGGGAUGGAAACUGCCAAUCUAGAGUAUCGGAGAGGAAAGUGGAAUUCCUAGUGUAGCGGUGAAAUGCGUAGAUAUUAGGAAGAAUACCAGUGGCGAAGGCGACUUUCUGGACGAAAACUGACGCUGAGGCGCGAAAGCCAGGGGAGCGAACGGGAUUAGAUACCCCGGUAGUCCUGGCCGUAAACGAUGGGUACUAGGUGUAGGAGGUAUCGACCCCUUCUGUGCCGGAGUUAACGCAAUAAGUACCCCGCCUGGGGAGUACGACCGCAAGGUUG